AGUUUGAUCAUGGCUCAGAUUGAACGCUGGCGGGAUGCUUUACACAUGCAAGUCGAACGGCAGCACGGACUUCGGUCUGGUGGCGAGUGGCGAACGGGUGAGUAAUGUAUCGGAACGUGCCUAGUAGCGGGGGAUAACUACGCGAAAGCGUAGCUAAUACCGUACAUGCCCUCUGGGGAAAGCGGGGACCUUCGGGCCUCGCACUAUUAGAGCGGCCGAUAUCGGAUUAGCUAGUUGGUGGGUAACGGCUCACCAAGGCGACGACCCGUAGCUGGUUUGAGAGGACACGCGACCAGCCACACUGGGACUGAGACACGGCCCAGACUCCUACGGGAGGCAGCAGUGGGGAAUUUUGACAAUGGGGAGAAAACCCUGAUCUGGCCAUCCGCGUGUGCGACAAAGGCCUUCGGGGCUAAAGCACUUUGGCAGGAAAGAAACGGCACGGGGAUAAUACCCCGUGCAACUGACGGUACCUGCAGAAUAAGCACCGGCUAAUCCAUGCGCCAGCAGCCGCGGUAAUACGUAGGGUGCAAGCGUUAAUCGGAAUUACUGGGCGUAAAGCGUGCGCAAGGCGGCUCGGAAAGAAAGAUGUGAAAUCCCAGAGCUUAAACUUUGAACUGCAUUUUUAACUACCGAGCUGCAGAUGUCGGGGAGGGAGGGAAUUCCGCGUGUAGCAGUGAAAUGCGUAGAUAUGCGGAGGAACACCGAUGGCGAAGGCAGCCUCCUGGGAUAACACUGAUGCUCAUGCACGAAAGUGGGGAGCAAACAGGAUUAGAUACUCCGGUAGUCCACGCCCUAAACGAUGUCAACUAGCUUACGGGGCCUUCGGCCUGGUAGCGCAGCUAACGGGGUUGACCGCCUGGGGAGUACGGCUGCAGAUUAAACCGUACGAAUUGAUUUCGACCCGCAAGCAAGCGUGGAUGAUGCGGGAUUAACUAAUGCAACGCGAAACCACUCACCCUUGAUAUUCAACCCGGAAGAGAUUUGGGAGUGCUCGCAAGAGAACCGGAACGAGGUAAGGUGGUAAUAUUGUCGUCAGUCAAAUGUAGAUGUUGAAGUUAAGUCCGCAACGAGCGGCAACCUCUGUCAUUAGUUGCUACGAAAGGGCACUCUAAUGAGAUUCGCCGGUGACAAACCGGAGGAGCGUGAUGACAAGUCCUCAUGGCCCUUAUGGGUAGGUCACACAAUGUCAUACAAUGGUCGGGACAGAGGGUCGCCAACCCGCGAGGGGGAGCCAAUCCCAGAAACCCGAUCGUAGUCCGGAUCGCAGUCUGCAACUCGACUGCGUGAAGUCGGAAUCGCUAGUAAUCGCGGAUCAGCAUGUCGCGGUGAAUACGUUCCCGGGUCUGUACACCGCCCGUCACACCAGGAGUGGUUUUACCAGAAGUAGUUAGCCUAACCGUAAGGAGGGCGAUUACCACGGUAGGAUUCAUGACUGGGGUAGUCGUAACAAGGUAA
This 1458-nucleotide ribosomal RNA is filed under the name uncultured Bordetella sp. RNAcentral describes it as "partial 16S-23S ribosomal RNA intergenic spacer". It matches the Rfam family "Bacterial small subunit ribosomal RNA". The record is from RNAcentral. Lineage: Bacteria; Pseudomonadati; Pseudomonadota; Betaproteobacteria; Burkholderiales; Alcaligenaceae.